ACCUGUUCAGGAAAUGAAAGUUCUCUAACUGAGUGUCAGCACAGUGGAUUUGGAUCAAACAGAUGUGAACAUGGUCAGGAUGCUGCUGUCAUCUGUUCAGGUAUUUCUCCAAGUCCAACAAACCCUCCUGAGCCAGUGAAGUUUAUUAUAGACUUGAACUUGCUCUUCCCAAUAUCCAGUCUGCCCCCAAAUUUCAUUGAUCUAUUCAGAGGCUAUGUGAGAAAUGUGUCCUUUCCCCAAAACAUCACUGGGUCUUUAAUAAUAGAAGACUUGAACUUCAC
Pundamilia nyererei is the source of this 281-nucleotide long non-coding RNA. RefSeq lists it as uncharacterized. The transcript has 3 exons. The record is from RefSeq and is a predicted model, not a curated record. Lineage: Eukaryota; Metazoa; Chordata; Actinopteri; Cichliformes; Cichlidae.